UGGGGAAUAUUGCACAAUGGACGAAAGUCUGAUGCAGCGACGCCGCGUGAGGGAAGAAGGUUUUCGGAUUGUAAACCUCUGUCUUCGGGGACGAAACAAAUGACGGUACCCGAAGAGGAAGCCACGGCUAACUACGUGCCAGCAGCCGCGGUAAAACGUAGGUGGCAAGCGUUGUCCGGAAUUACUGGGUGUAAAGGGAGCGCAGGCGGGAUGGCAAGUUGGGCGUGAAAACUAUGGGCUUAACCCAUAGACUGCGCUCAAAACUGCUGUUCUUGAGUGAUGGAGAGGUAGGCGGAAUUCCCGGUGUAGCGGUGGAAUGCGUAGAUAUCGGGAGGAACACCAGUGGCGAAGGCGGCCUACUGGACAUCAACUGACGCUGAGGCUCGAAAGUAUGGGGAGC
RNAcentral lists this ribosomal RNA (400 nucleotides) under uncultured bacterium. RNAcentral describes it as "bacterial SSU rRNA". It matches the Rfam family "Bacterial small subunit ribosomal RNA", at positions 355 to 769 of the family's 1533-position model. The record is from RNAcentral.